RNAcentral lists this ribosomal RNA (497 nucleotides) under uncultured bacterium. RNAcentral describes it as "partial 16S ribosomal RNA". It matches the Rfam family "Bacterial small subunit ribosomal RNA", at positions 28 to 507 of the family's 1533-position model. The record is from RNAcentral.
GAUGAACGCUGGCGGCGUGCCUAAUACAUGCAAGUCGAGCGAACGGACGAGAAGCUUGCUUCUCUGAUGUUAGCGGCGGACGGGUGAGUAACACGUGGAUAACCUACCUAUAAGACUGGGAUAACUUCGGGAAACCGGAGCUAAUACCGGAUAAUAUUUUGAACCGCAUGGUUCAAAAGUGAAAGACGGUCUUGCUGUCACUUAUAGAUGGAUCCGCGCUGCAUUAGCUAGUUGGUAAGGUAACGGCUUACCAAGGCAACGAUGCAUAGCCGACCUGAGAGGGUGAUCGGCCACCCUGGACCUGAGACACGGUCCAGACUCCUACGGGAGGCAGCAGUAGGGAAUCUUCCGCAAUGGGCGAAAGCCUGACGGAGCAACGCCGCGUGAGUGAUGAAGGUCUUCGGAUCGUAAAACUCUGUUAUUAGGGAAGAACAUAUGUGUAAGUAACUGUGCACAUCUUGACGGUACCUAAUCAGAAAGCCACGGCUAACUACGUG